UACGUAGGGUGCAAGCGUUAUCCGGAUUUACUGGGUUUAAAGGGUGCGUAGGUGGAUAAUUAAGUCAGUGGUGAAAUCUUCAGGCUUAACCUGGAAACUGCCAUUGAUACUAUUUGUCUUGAAUACUUUGGAGGUAAGCGGAAUAUGUCAUGUAGCGGUGAAAUGCUUAGAUAUGACAUAGAACACCAAUUGCGAAGGCAGCUGGCUACACAAAUAUUGACACUGAGGCACGAAAGCGUGGGGAUCAAACAGG
RNAcentral lists this ribosomal RNA (253 nucleotides) under uncultured bacterium. RNAcentral's name for it is "partial 16S ribosomal RNA". It matches the Rfam family "Bacterial small subunit ribosomal RNA", at positions 524 to 776 of the family's 1533-position model. The record is from RNAcentral.